This is a non-coding RNA of Pelobates cultripes (western spadefoot toad), 222 nucleotides long. The record is from the annotation of a GenBank genome assembly. NCBI's taxonomy places the organism in Eukaryota, Metazoa, Chordata, Amphibia, Anura, Pelobatidae.
GGGCACCUAAGAAGAUAAUUAAUCUGCUAGUAAUACUAAGCAGUAGAGAUGUGAUAACCAAAUAAUAAGUAGAUCGAUACCCUGCAAUAAUACACUAUGCUGUGCCUUCAAGGGCACCUGUCAAGAAACAAAAAGCUAUCUAUCACUGUGUACCGAUAACAGGAUAAAGUAUAAGAUAAUGAGCUGAAGAAGAAAGGUCUAAAUCUAUGCGGUAAAUCACAC